AGUGAACGCUGGCGGUAGGCCUAACACAUGCCAGUCGAACGGCAGCACAGUAAGAGCUUGCUCUUACGGGUGGCGAGUGGCGGACGGGUGAGGAAUACAUCGGAAUCUACUUUUUCGUGGGGGAUAACGUAGGGAAACUUACGCUAAUACCGCAAACGACCUACGGGUGAAAGCAGGGGAUCUUCGGACCUUGCGCGAUUGAAUGAGCCGAUGUCGGAUUAGCUAGUUGGCGGGGUAAAGGCCCACCAAGGCGACGAUCCGUAGCUGGUCUGAGAGGAUGAUCAGCCACACUGGAACUGAGACACGGUCCAGACUCCUACGGGAGGCAGCAGUGGGGAAUAUUGGACAAUGGGCGCAAGCCUGAUCCAGCCAUACCGCGUGGGUGAAGAAGGCCUUCGGGUUGUAAAGCCCUUUUGUUGGGAAAGAAAAGCAGCAGGUUAAUACCCCGCUGUUCUGACGGUACCCAAAGAAUAAGCACCGGCUAACUUCGUG
RNAcentral lists this ribosomal RNA (492 nucleotides) under uncultured bacterium. RNAcentral describes it as "partial 16S ribosomal RNA". It matches the Rfam family "Bacterial small subunit ribosomal RNA", at positions 29 to 507 of the family's 1533-position model. The record is from RNAcentral.